CAGCCCUUCAGGAAGCUGCUGGUGGCACUGGAUUUUCGGCAGGGAUUCAUGUCACCCUGAAUGAGUAAACUGAGUCCUGCUGGUUGAGCUGCUCAACAAGUUAUCACCCACAGCCUGCAUGGAGGACACAGGAAAUGUCCUAUGCAGAAGCACACUGAGGUGAGGGGCACUCCUCACCCGGUAGGGGUGCUCUGCGUGUGCCCAGCAUCCUCCCUCUGACGAGUGCUUAAGUGUGAAGAGCUGGUGGACUUGCCAGGGGCUGAUGUCUUGUCAGAUUGUCUGCUCUGCAUCUUCUCUGGAGCCAGUGCACAGGGCUGUGUGGCCAUAUCCAGGCCUGGGGGAAAGGAAAGGGCUGGGACGUGCAGGUGUAUGUGGCACUCGUGUAAAUCGCUGGGCAGCAGAGGCAGGGGAGAGGGGAGAUACAUCUGGUUAGGCAUUGCAGCGGGUUGUCGAACAAGGUGGUGGAGUCACCGUCCGUGGCGGUGUUUAAGGAAAGGUUGGAUGUGGUGCUUAGGGACGUGGUUUAGUGGGUAAUGGUGGUAGGGGGACAGUUGGACCAGAUGAUCUUGGAGGGCUUUUCCAGCCUUAAUGAUUCCAUGCUUCUAUAAUAGAUAUGUUCCAGCUGGGCUGGCAGUGGCUGCUGCUCUUCCCCAGGAAGAAGAACUUCAGGUUGCAGCAGGAAGUGAACAGAGCCGGCAGAAAGCAUGGGGACAAUCAGGAGUAUGUGUAUCAGAGGACACCACACGUUACAGUGACAUCCCAUGUCACAUUCCAGCACCGUGCUGCAUAACAGAUAGGAAACGUUCCUGUGUGUGUCCUGUUGCUUCGCAUGUCCCUGUGCCAGUGAGAGAGUGGGGUUAUCCAAAACCAGGCAACCUCAGUGAUGUUGUGGAAGGAGGAGUGAAGUGA
This 909-nucleotide long non-coding RNA is filed under the name Anser brachyrhynchus (Pink-footed goose). RNAcentral describes it as "lncRNA (ENSABRG00000006099.1)". The record is from RNAcentral. Lineage: Eukaryota; Metazoa; Chordata; Aves; Anseriformes; Anatidae.